This 55-nucleotide transfer RNA is filed under the name Clavinema parasiluri. RNAcentral describes it as "tRNA-Asp". The record is from RNAcentral. Lineage: Eukaryota; Metazoa; Nematoda; Chromadorea; Rhabditida; Philometridae.
GGGAUUCGAGUAUGGUUGUGUAUGUGUCAUUGUCUUUGAUAAGGUAGGAAUUCUU